Molecule: non-coding RNA, 23 nt
Filed under: Arabidopsis thaliana (thale cress)
Lineage: Eukaryota; Viridiplantae; Streptophyta; Magnoliopsida; Brassicales; Brassicaceae
Source: RNAcentral
UGAUGGACCUUAACAUGAUGGAC